RNAcentral lists this ribosomal RNA (488 nucleotides) under uncultured bacterium. Its description in RNAcentral is "partial 16S ribosomal RNA". It matches the Rfam family "Bacterial small subunit ribosomal RNA", at positions 30 to 507 of the family's 1533-position model. The record is from RNAcentral.
UGAACGCUGGCGGCAGGCCUAACACAUGCAAAUCGAACGGUAACAGGCAGCAGCUUGCUGCUUCGCUGACGAGUGGCGGACGGGUGAGUAAUGUCUGGGAAACUGCCUGAUGGAGGGGGAUAACUACUGGAAACGGUAGCUAAUACCGCAUAACGUCGCAAGACCAAAGAGGGGGACCUUAGGGCCUCUUGCCAUCGGAUGUGCCCAGAUGGGAUUAGCUAGUAGGUGGGGUAACGGCUCACCUAGGCGACGAUCCCUAGCUGGUCUGAGAGGAUGACCAGCCACCCUGGAACUGAGACACGGUCCAGACUCCUACGGGAGGCAGCAGUGGGGAAUAUUGCACAAUGGGCGCAAGCCUGAUGCAGCCAUGCCGCGUGUAUGAAGAAGGCCUUCGGGUUGUAAAGUACUUUCAGCGGGGAGGAAGGGAGUAAAGUUAAUACCUUUGCUCAUUGACGUUACCCGCAGAAGAAGCACCGGCUAACUCCGUG